RNAcentral lists this long non-coding RNA (15030 nucleotides) under Olea europaea (common olive). Its description in RNAcentral is "long non-coding RNA (OEUR_LNC007653)". The record is from RNAcentral. Lineage: Eukaryota; Viridiplantae; Streptophyta; Magnoliopsida; Lamiales; Oleaceae.
GUGAACCAGCUGGUUAAUUCCGACUACAACAAGAUUUAUCCAGGGACUGCAGAAAUCCAAGACCCUAAGAACUUUGAAGCCGCAUGCAACUAAUGUGGGCACCGUUACAUUACCACAUAAAAGAGAGCGCACAUGUGGGCCGAAAGGUAGUGAGGCAGUAGGAUUCUCCCCAUUGAAGAUACUCAAACAAUGGUGUUUCUGAUACAUCGCCACUUCAUUGAAGUAUGGUAGUGGAUGAGGUUCAUCAACAUUACUGGUAUAAACAUAAUCACGCGUGAUACGAUCAUCAGAUAUAGUCACCAUUAUUAUUACACUAAAAAAAUGUACGAAUAGAGAAGAAAAAAUAAGAGAAAUAGGGAACUUACAUAUUGACAACCUUCAAAAAGUUUUUUUCUUCAGCUAUUCUCAAGCACAUUUCACGCAAUAGAUCAUGAAUCUUGCAAGUUUUGAUUGAACCAUCAAAUUUUUUUCCAGCAACAAGUACCAGGCUCCGAUCAAUGAGUUUCAUCACACAUUCUAGUGCCACAUCCUCUAAACUCUUCUGCUCUUCCUUCUUUAUAUAACCUUCAGCAACCCAUAAUGAUAUCAACUUUUGUAUGUGGAUUUCCUCGUCCUCUUUGAAUGCUCCAAAGUAAAGAAAGCAUGGUUUCAAGUGCAUUGGCAAUUGAUUAUAGCUAAGUUCUAGUAUCUGGGUGUAGUUGUUUGAAUUUUUGGAUAAAUGUGAACUUAAAUUUCUUGCAACUUCUUGCCACAAGUGUUCUUUAUUCUCCAUAUUUGCAAGAACUCCAGCUAUCACGACCACGGCAAGUGGUAGGCCAUGACAUUUUUUUGCAAUCUUCUUCCCAACGUCUAGCAGUUCUUGAGGACAACUUUUACCUCUGAACACUUUCUUUUGUAACAAAUCCCAGCAUUCAUCUUCCGAUAGAAAAGGAAGUGCAUUUAUGACACAAUGAGGUGACACUUUCAAACUUACUUCUUUAUUCCGAGUGGUGAAUAAGAUUCUGCUUCCAGUUGCGUCAUCUGGAAAAAUUCUUUUCAGAUCAUCCCAUAAUUUUAUAUCCCAUAUAUCAUCCAGAACAAUGAGAUAUCGCCUUCCUUUUAAACUUUUGUAAACAGCUUCAGCCAAACUUUCUUCGUCCUCGAUUGCAAUUUGUUCUUGCUUAACAUUUCUUAUACAGCUCAAAAUGUUAAUCAAAAUAUUUUUCUUAUUAUAUGUUUGAGAAACAACACACAAGGCUCGCUCGUAAAAAUGAUAGACUACUGAUGGAUCAUUAUAUAGUUUAUUUGCUAAAGUUGUCUUACCAAUUCCAGGCAUUCCAAAUAUGGAGAUAAUUUGUAAUUGCUCUGUUCCUCUUACAAGUUGUUCCGUAAUUUCGAGUGCAACAACUUUAAACCCCACAAUAACAUCCAAAAUGGGAGUUUCUUCAGAUUGAGAGGAUAAGUGUUCAUCCGGAUAUUGUGCAACUUCUAGCAUUCCAACCACAUCAAUAUCGUUCUUCAUUUCUUUGAUGGCCAUUGUAAUAAGCUGAAUCUUCUCGAUGAGCAGAGGAAUUCUGAGGGCGAGAUACCAAACAGGGGGAAAUGAGUUGAUAAUAUAUUCAACUUCAAAUGCUAUGUCUCUGGUUUUUAUUAUGAGUUCUUCCUGCUCUGCUUCUUGCUGCACAGCUAUACUGGUGAUGGAAGAUCCCAAUAAAAAUAGCUCCUCAUGUAGCAUUACAAUUUGAUCGUUCAGACCAACAAUCCUGUCAGACUUGUUAUUUAUUAGGUCCAUGAGAUCAUCAAGAACGGAAUCAACGAUGAAGAGUGAAACCACACCAGUCUUUGGAGCCAUAUCAAUUGGCAUCUUUGAGACUGUGAUGCAGUGCUCCUUGAUCUUUGAUUUCAAGAGCUCGAACUUUGGUAACAAAUCAGAAAGAGCUAGAUCCACUAUUCCACUCUCCGGGACUCGAUCAUUCUUGGUGAAAACUAUGAAACUUCCUAUCUCAUGGACCAUAGCUUUGAUAUCCGCCAUUGCUUUCUCGGUUUCUUCUACCUCAGUAGUGGUCUGCAAUGGCAUGUCCUCAAGAACGUCGAAAAUGCCAGAGUGCAAGAAACUUACUACGUCGUUGACCACAUUACAAUUUGAUCGUUCAGACCAACAAUCCUGUCAGACUUGUUAUUUAUUAGGUCCAUGAGAUCAUCAAGAACGGAAUCAACGAUGAAGAGUGAAACCACACCAGUCUUUGGAGCCAUAUCAAUUGGCAUCUUUGAGACUGUGAUGCAGUGCUCCUUGAUCUUUGAUUUCAAGAGCUCGAACUUUGGUAACAAAUCAGAAAGAGCUAGAUCCACUAUUCCACUCUCCGGGACUCGAUCAUUCUUGGUGAAAACUAUGAAACUUCCUAUCUCAUGGACCAUAGCUUUGAUAUCCGCCAUUGCUUUCUCGGUUUCUUCUACCUCAGUAGUGGUCUGCAAUGGCAUGUCCUCAAGAACGUCGAAAAUGCCAGAGUGCAAGAAACUUACUACGUCGUUGACCACAUCUUCAAAAUCCGUUGAAUGAAGCCUCGAAUAAGUAAAAGGGGUUUCUUCCUUCCGAGUGGCAAAGAAUACUUCAAAGGCGAAAUACAAGGAAUAAAAGAAACUUCCAACCUCAUUGACCGCAGCUUCGAUAUCUAUCACUACAUUAUUUGUGGGCUGCAAAUGCAUCGAUGUAUCUCCAAGAAAAGUAAUAAGAAAUCCCAGCUCUGUCCGGAGAUUAUGGAAAGCAAUGUAUUCGGCCUUAAAACAAAGGAUGGAUUCUACCAUUCGGAGUAGAAAGUUGAUAAAGGCUGCAACAACUUCAUUAGGACAUGACGAGCUUUGCUGGUUUGGGACAGUGAAGAGUUCUUCAAGCUUUUUCCCACGUGACAAUAGUUGUUGGAGACUGUGUCUAAUUUUUUCAACAUCUUUUGAGUUUCCGAUCGGCUCCGGAAAAUCAACCCUAUCGGUUGAUGGGAGCCCAAGUUGGCAGGACAAAAUUGACUCAUACUCAAGCACGAUUAUAUGGAAACCUAUUGGCCCAGUAAACAAUUUAUCUUCGUCUGGUAAAUAGUACCCCUCUUCCGUGCCCAGGCAGUCUGUACCUGUUUCUCCCUCUCCUGAUGACAUAAGGAAAGGAUGCAAGCGAUUGCAGGGAAAAAAGUAUUUGUGUUUAAAAGCUAAUAGAUUCUACCAAUUGUUUGGAUUAAAUACAAACAUUAAAGAAGCAAGAAAAAAUUUAGUAUAUAGCUUUGGAGCUUGCAGAUCUGAAAAUGGAGUUUGAAACCAGAAUAUGGAGACGACAGAAAUUAGUGCGGGGGAGAGUGGGUUUGAAUUAUUGAAUAUAGUGGAGUACAUAAUUCACACUUUUCAAAUAGCUUUAAAUUAAAAAUGGAUGUAAAGGAAAAAACCACAAACGUCCCAAGCCUUUUCUGUCAUCUAAUAUCUUCACCAGAUUGUCUGACUAUGGCUACCUUAUUAGGAUUGUCCACGUCAAUGCAAUUAUCAAUUUCUUGGAGUGAAUAUAAUGUAAAAAAUAAUCAAUAUCAAUAUUUUGACAAAUUCGAUCAGUAUUAAACAUCGAGAACCUUCCAUUUCAUCCAUAUAUUAUAUACAAAUUCGAUCAAUAAAAGUAAAUAUUUCAAGUCAAUCCCCCCGUUUGAGCUCCAUUAAUUCUUAUUACAUUAAAUUAUAUUUUUUUCUCUCCUACUUUUAAUUCCACAAUUUUCAAUAAAAUAAUAUUACACGUAAAUCAAAUACUUUUCAACCACUCAUUUUUCAAAAAAAUAUAUUAUUCAUCUUAUUAUAAUAUACAAAUAAUGGGGUCAAACGGCUUCUAAAUCUGAUUUUUGUAUUUUUAUUUUUAUAUUUUUUGUAUUAGAACUACGAACCAAACCAAAAUUGAUCGAUUUCUUGAUUUUAAUACUCGGAAUUCAUUAUAACUUGAGCAGAAUUAGACUAAAUCAAUCGAUCCUAGUUCGGUUUUGAUUUGGUCCAAUAAUUUUAAUAACUUUUGCCUACCCUACUUAUAAUUUAUCAAAAUAAACUCAAAAUUGAAGAAAUGAAAAAGAAAAAAAGGACAAAAUUGAAAGAAAAUGAAAAUUUUAUGCAUAAAAUCGUGACCCUUACGUUGUUAUCAAAAUGGGACAAGAAACACAGCUGUAUGAUGACAUUUGUAGCUUCAUCACCGCUAGGCUACCACCCAAAUCAGCAGUAAAUCCAAAGCAGAACCAAGCGUGUCCUCUCCAUCGCCAAGAAAAAUUGUUAGUACAAUAAAGUGCGAAAUUUCUGGGUUGCAACACUAAUUCACAAAUAUGUAAUUAAUCUCAAUGAAUGUGACCGUAGAAACUGUGAUCUAAAUAUGUCUCGACAAGUGAUCAAUAUGAUGCUCACGAUUCGAAAAUCAACAGUAAUUUGCAAUGUAAUUUCUGAAGGAUCGAGCUCCAUGUACAGAGCUCGGUUCACAGAGGCUGUACAUAUUCCCUCACUGUAGGGGGUCGAGUCCCACAGCAAUUUAAAAAAACAGGUGGAGCCCACGUCCAUCUCCUCUUUCAUUUGACAGGGGUUGUGAACUAGGCUCCUGUAGCUCCAUCUUUUUCUAAUUUCUGAAAGUGACUGUAGUAUUCACUUUUUGAAGGUAUACGAAGUUGGAGUAAUUUGUGGGAAAUAUUUUUGAAAAAAAAAAUGUACACAAUGCUUUAUGUCUUAUAAUAAAAAUUAUGGAAUUCUAAUAACCCAUUAAGCCCCCUUUGGCCUCAAAUUUUUCAAAUUAAAAUGGGUUGAAUAGUAUAUUUUGAAAAAUGAGUGGUUGAAAAAAGAAAAAAAAAAUUCGAUUUACAUGUAAUAUUAUUUUAUGGAAGAUUGUGUGAAUAAAAAUAAAAAAAAUAAAAUUUAAUUUAAUGGGGACAAACGGGAGCUAAAUCUAUUAAAAUUAUGUAACUUUGGAUUUUUUACCAGUAAAGAUUAAAGAAGGGCGAAAAUGUCUUCUUGUUUUGAAAACUUACAUAUCCCCAAAUAUUUUGAGACCGAGACAGCCUGUUGAGAUUAUUGAGGGGAGAGAAAGAGAAGUUGAAUUAUUGAACACAUUGAUUGGAGUACAACUCAUCCGAUUCACUUUUCAAAUAGCUUCAAAUUAAAAAUGGAUGUAAAGAAAAUACAAAGAGUAUGUUUGGGCCCGAUUUUUCCAUCUAAAAAAUUAAUUUUUUGACCAUUAUUUUAUUAUUCCAAUCGUUAUAUUUGAUUUCUUCUCUCACAAGUAAACCCCACUUUUUUCCUAACGGUCAAAAAAUCAAUUCUCAAAAUCACUCUCAAAUAGGCUCAAAAAUUAAUUGUGUACAGAGAAUUUUUUUUUACAACAAUCUCUCAUAAAGGUAUGGGUCCUAUAUAAAUAAAUAAUGUUAAAAAAUUAACCCACCCUCCCAUGUGAGGUGUUGGUAAGGUUUCCUGUACACCUAUCAUCACCCAAGAAAAAAUCACAAACAUCCUUUUCAACCACGCCGUUUUCUGGUAUCGAAAUCUGUUUGUGCCCGUUUUAUUUCAAAAAAUGUAUUAUGAAUUAGUGAUUGUUGUUAAAAUAUGUGGUUAAAAAUGAAGGAAAUUUUGUUUAUUUAUGUUUAAUAUUAUUUUAAUGAAAAAUGAAACUAUAAAAAAAUUAAUGUGGGUGACAAACAAAGACAUAAUAUCUCCACUAGAUUGUCUGACUAUGGCUACCACCCAAAUCAACAAUGAAUCCAAAAUCCAAAUCGGAAUCGAGUGUCUCCUCUCCAUCACCAAGAAAAAUCGUCGGUGCAAUAAAGUGCAAAAUUUUUGGUUUGCAACACUAAUUCACUAAUAUGUAAUUAAUCUCAAUGAAUGUGACCGUAAGAACUUUGGUCUAAAUAUGUCUCGACAAUAGUGAUCAAUUUGAUACUCUCGAUUCGAAAUUCAACAGUAAUUUGCAAUGUAAUUCCUGAAUGAGACUUUUUGAAUGUAUUCGAAGUUGGAGUAAUUUGUGGGAAAUUUUUUUGAAAAGAAAUGUAUAUAAGGGCAUCUCCAUCCACAAUACCAUUGCACCAUUUUGCACCAUUUUUUGGUGCAAAAUUGCUUCAACCCAACACCAAACUUUGCACUAGUGCAAAGUGUAAAAUAUCUAUUUUGCCCUUAUUUAACAUUUUCCAAAUAAAUUUGUUGAGAGUAUUUAUAUAAUUUGUGCUAUAUAUUUUUUAAUACAAUAAAUUAUUGCUUUUUUUUAUUAAUAUUAAUAUUAUUUGGGUUUAAAAUAAAUUUUAAAUAUAAGACAUAAUAAUUAAUUAAUUAAUUAAAAGACGAAAACAAUUUAAAAUACAUCAAACACGAUUAUUUAUUAAAGUUAACACAAAGUUGAGUUGGUUGAAGACGAAAAUUGCCAUUUUCAGGAAUUUCUUGUUCUUCAUAGACAAAUCAAGGAUAAAGAAACUCACAUUGCACUUCGAAAUGCAUUAAUCGAUUAUUUGUGGGAUGAACAUAUGAAUUUUAAUAAUUAAAUUGCAAAAAUUUAACGACUUCGUAAUAUCGUCUAUCCAAAUUUGAAAUGCAUUGUACUAUUUUCUAAUGGCAUUAUUUCAUAUUUUCGUUGUUGUAGUAUUUUUAUUAAUUGUUCUAUGUUUUUAAUAUUUAUUAAUGAAUUUAAUCUUUUUCGUAAUUUAACGUAAUUAUUUAUUUAGUAAUUUAUGUAUUUAUGAAAUAAUUAAAUAAAUAAUAUUUCAAAUAAGUAGAUUAUAAAAAAUAAAAAAAGGGAAGAAAUGGUUAAAUACUGUUCAUUUGGUGUAAUUUUGGUGUAAUGGUUGGAGAUGAAUUUUAGUUUGGUGCAAGAUUUGUUGUAUAAUUUGGUGCAAAAUGGUGCAAAAUUUGGUGCAGGUUUGGAGAUAGUCUAAUGCUUUAUGUCUUAUAAUAAAAUUAUGGAAACUCUAAUAACCCAUUAAAUCUAUAAAAUUAAGGAUAAUUUAAAUUUAUAUAACUUUGGAUUGUUUAAUAUUUCCAGUAAAAAUUAAAGAAGGAUGAAAAUGUCAGUUAUAUAUGUAAAGCACCUUUUUGUUAAACUUAACGUAACCCCAAAAUAUUUACAAAGACAGUUAAAAAUAAUGAGAUUUUAAAAAAUUUAAAUUGAAUCAUAUCUUCCAAUCUAUCCUCCAAAUGGAGAGUCAAUUGUUCCAUAGAUCCAUAUCUUAGAUUACUCACUGAAAUUUAAAAUAUUGAGUUUUUGAUCAUCGAACUUAGGUUCAUAUCUUCGAUUGCUCACUAAGAUUUAAAAUAUCGAGUUUUGGCUGCUAAACUUUGAAAAAUAUUGUACAUCAUUCGCUAGCAUAACUUCCGUCUCAAACAUCUAAUAGAAUUGGUGACGUGACUGACAGAAUGCAUACAUGGUGUUUCAUUACACUGUUAAACUUUAGGAUGGUCAAAUUUUGAUCAUUAAAUUUUGAAAAAUGUCUUCUAUUCUCACUGAACUUUGAAGUGGUCGAAUUUUGGCCACCGAACUUUGAAAAACGUCUUAUAUUACUCACUAUAAAUUUGAAUUUAACCACACAUCUAUACAAUAAAAUAUUUUACAAGUAAAUUCAAAAAAUUUCCUAACUUUUCAACCAUAUAUUUUUCAAAAAAUCACUAUUUAAAAACUCGAUCAUCUCAAAUUUUAGUAGCCAAAAUUUAACUAUCUCAAAGUUCAUUAGCCAAAGUGCGAUCACUUCAAAGUUAAAUGAGUAUGGUUGAGUUUUUGUCACAAAACUUAAAACCGACUUCGAUGGUUCACAAUAAAUUUGGAUUUGUUUAAAAUCCGUUGUUAAAAUUUGGAUUUAAUUUUAUUUAACAACAAACAAAUUCAUUGCGUGUUUCAUUAUAAAAUUCAAAUAUCAUAAUGAAAAUAGCUUCAAAUUCUAAACAAAUAAAUUAAAUUUAAAUUUAAUUACUAUAUAAUUCAGUAAUCAUUCCUAGUGGUACGGACAAUGUUUGCAAAGCUGUGUGAAGGAAGUGACUAUUAAUUGCAAUGAAACACACAAUAUAUUUAUCGUAAAAAUUAAAUUAAAUUCGAAUUUUAAAAAAAAAACGAAUUUUAGCCCAUGUUUAAUGGCCAUUAUUUAAAAAAAAAAGUUCUAAAAAUAGUGAUUUUUUUUGGAGAAUGUUAUUUUUUGAAGAGUGUGUAGUUAAAAAGUUGGAAAAAAUUUGAGUUUACGUGUAAAAUAUUUUAUUGUAUGGAUGUAUGAUUAAAUCUAAAUUUAUAGUGAGUAAUAGAAGAUGUUUUUCGAAGUUUAUUUGCCCAAGUUCAACUUUUUCAAAGUUCAGUGGCCAAAAUUCGACCACUUCAAAGUUCAGUGAGUAAUAGAAGAUAUUUUUAAAAGUUUAGUAGCAAAAAUUUGACCUUAAAGUUUAACAAUGUGACGGGGUGCCACAUAUACAUUCCGCCGGCCACAUCAGCAAUUUUGUUGGAGAUUUGAGAUGGAAGUUAUUUUAGUGGGUAACAGUAUAACAUUUUCCAAAGUUCAUUGGCCAAAUCUUGACAUUUUAAACUUAGUAAGCUAUCGAAAAUAUGGAUCUAAGUUUAGUGUCCAAAACUCGACACCUUAAUGAACAAUCGAAGACAUGGACCUAAGUUCAGUAAUCAAAACUCGACAUUUUAAACUUAAGUGAGCAAUCGAAGACAUGAACCUAAGUUUAGUGAUCAAUGGAACAAUUAACUCCCAAAUGGAUGAUUAUUAUACAUUGUGAACUCGACAAAAAAUUAAAAAAAGGUAACUCUUGUGUCUUGGGGACCAUUUUUGAAUAUAUUGAAUAUAUUGGAGUACAGCUCAUACGAUUCACUUUUCAAAUAGCUUUAAAUUUAACAAUGGAUAUAAAGAAAAAGCCAUAAGAAAAGUUCACAAAAGUCUGAAUAUUUCUUCUACCAUUUCUGUGCUAUUUCAUCACAUCACCUAUGUGAAAUCUUAUUUGUGGAGUCCAAAUUAAAAACAAUACAAAAGUUGAAUAAACAAUGUACUCAAAGUUUUAUAUAUUUUUAUUUGUUUGCUCCAUCGUUUCAUUUUUGACAUAAUUUUUUUUUCGUUAUCCGAUGUCCUCAAAGGAUUGUCCCAAAUCAAUAGUAAAUUCAAAAUCUAAAACAGAAUCGAGCGUGUCAUCUCCAUUGUCAAGAAAAAUCAUCGGUGCAAUAAGUGCAAAUUUUUUUAUUUGCAUCAGAAAACGCCUUCAAUGCUAAUUCACUAAUGUGUAAUGAAUUUCAAUGUCUGUGACUUAGAAAUAUAUCUCAACAAUGGUAACAAUGAUCAAUUUGAUACUCUUGAUUCAAAAUUCAACAGUAAUUUGCAUUUUAAUUUCUGAAUGUGAAUGCAGUAUUCACCUUUUGAAUGUAACUUAACAAUAAUACCCCAGUCUCAAACUUCAACAUUGAUCAUUUGCCACUACGCAUUCGAAAUUUAAAGUCGUAGUACUUCAUAAAAAAUUAUGAACACUCUAAUAACCCAUUAAAUCUAUAAAAAUUAAGGAUCAUUUAUAUGAUUUUAGAUUUUUUAGUAUUCCAAGAAAAAUUAAAGAAAGACGAAAAUGUGGGUUAUAUAUGUAAAGCACAUUUUUUAAACUUAUAUAUCGGCCCCAAAUAUUUUGGGCCCAUGAUGGCCUCUUGAGGUUUACAAGAAAAAAUUAAAUUGAAUCAUAUCUUCCAAUCUAUCCUUGAAAUGGAUAAUUAUUAUACAUUGUGAACUCGAGAAAAAAUUUAACGAUGAAAAUUCUUGUCUUCAAAAGUAUCAUGAUGACAAUUUUUUGACGAAACAACCAAAAAAUUAACUUUUUACUAUAGAAAAGUGCGUUGUCAAAAGUGAAAUUUCUGUACUCACAUUGCUUUUGCAAGUAACAUUGGUAUUCUAAUUUUGCUUUCUAUUUUUACUAAAUUUUAGUAGCUUAUAGCUUUGGAGCUUGUAGAUCUGAAAAGCAAAUCAAUACAAGAGAAGGAAAAAGACUACUAAUUAUUGAAGAGGGAGAGAAAGAAUUUGAGUUAAUCAAUAUAUUGAGUACAGCUCAUAUGAUUCACUUUUCUAAUGCCUUUAAAUUAAACAAUGGAUGAAAAGAGUCCCCAAAAAAUAUAAAAAGGGACUAGAUGUAAACAAAAAUAUUGCACUCCUUAGAUGUUCAAAUUACUUUUUGAGCUUUUGUUGAAGAUGUGGAUGCAAUGACGAUGUUCAAGAUGAUUAUUCAUUUUUCUUUACUUGCUUUAAGAAGAAAACUCACCUUCUUACUCGUUUUCACACACACCGCGUGAAAUUAUUGUUGUGUUAAUGUAUGUUUUCAUUCUUAGGAGAAACUAAAAGAAUUUUUCCCAUGUUAGAUUACUAAUAUAUAUUGAUAUCCUCAAUAGAAGUCUCAUUAUUAUGAUGAUUUUUUUUUCCCAUUAUGAUGACCACUUUUACUUGUCGUAAUUUAAGAAUUAAUCAUUUUGUUUUGAGCAUGUAAAGUACUUAAUUUUUUGUUAAAUCGAUCAUGUGAUAAAAUGAACUAACAUACGUACAUGACAAGUUGAUAAAAUAUACUGAGUGUACAAUGUAGACAAACGUUCAACCAUAAAAUUUAAAAGAAAAUAUUUAGUGCUUAUUUGGAUUUCAUUAUACGUUUUUGAAAUAUAAUGUGAUAGAAAUGCAUGAUGUAUAAGUGAGUAUUUGUGAGUCCUAUGAAAUGUAUGGUUAAACUUGAUUUUGACAUUAUAUUAUAAGCACAUUAGAAUGAAAGGCUAAUUAAGAAAUUAAGCCCAAUAUCAACAAAAGCAGCGUUCAUAUAAUUCAUAUAUUCUAUUUUCGUGUAUCAAUGCAAGGCGGUCGCUCCAUACACAUCAAAGAACACAGCAGUUUUCAAGAGUUGAUCGCGGUACUGUAGUGAACAUAUGUAUCAGAUGUCCAAAUUUUCCGCCAUUGCUAUGUCUGCAUAUAAUCUGAUCGCUCCAUCUUUUGCCACAUUAUUUCCGCAAUUUUACAUUGUAUUAUAACAUGUGUCUCAAAUUUUCUUAUGGUUUUGAUAGAAAGGAUAAAUUGAAUGAGUGACAAUUUACCGUCUAUGUAGCGUACCGCCUCCACUCAAAUAUGUUCAUAGAGAAUUUACCAUAUGAAAAUCCUAUUCUUUGGUGGAAUGUUUAGCGUCCAGAAGCCUUUCCACCAGUUUUUUAUUACCACAUUAUAAGAUGUAGAUGCUUGAUGUUGAGAUUGGAUGCCAAUCUAUAAUCUCUAUCCGGACUGAACCGAGAAUUUCCCACUCCACUCGUAGAGCCAAAUAAUCUGAUCGUCACAGGAGAAAGAACUGAUUGAGAUUGCUAGUAUGGCAUCGCGAUCAUUGGCGAAAAAUGGCUUUCAACUCAGCAAAAAUCCCAAACCCCUGGGGAAAUAAAUAAUUCGCUGACCAUGGUUUAAAGGUAUUAGGACGUAGAAUCCAAGAAAUUGUUAGUUCUGAAGUGUUCAUGUAACUACUUAACUCUGUGAGAUAGUCUGCGUUUUGAUUGUCCCGUCUCCUUACAUGAAUACUUGAUGAUCUCUGUAUCCUUUUAUCAUUUCCUGGUGUUAAUUGUUUAUGUAGAACUAUCCCUAAGAGAUUAUCUUGAAAACUCCCUUGACCUGAGGACCUAAUCCUCACGGAAUCCUAGGAUCUCUUGAUAAUAAAUCUAGAACUAAGAUCAGUAAGUGAUUCACUUUGUGUGAUAUUCUCUCUGUGAUGAUUGACUAUUUUUUGGCAUUUGAUAAAUACUUUUUGUAUUUUAUUGUGUGUUGGGUAUUUGGGAAACUCUUGAAUCUAAUUACUUGAUUCAAGAUAUAAAAAAAAAUUUGGCAACAAGGGAAUAUACAAGUAUAAAGCAAUCAUCCUGUAAAAUGCUAUCACAGAGAGCGAUGAGGAGGCUAACAGUGUCAUCAAUACUUUAAGAAGCAAUGAUCUAGAACUUAGAAAUGAUACAGAAACUAAAACCAAUGCUAAGGGGUAAAUCCAAACAUAGAGAGUCUAGUGGUUAGGAGAGUAAUAAUUCUAAUAGUCAUCACCGUAAAAAGAACUGUAGGAGUUAUUUUGGGUGUAAGUCGAAGGCUAAAAAAAGAAAACGCUGUAAUUUUGGAAAAAGAGACAUUAUAUUAAGGAUUGUUAUAAACCUAACAAUAAUUUCAAUAAAAUGAAAUAGAAAUCGAACCAAGUAAUUUUGCCACAACUAGCAACGAGACUCUUGAUGAUCUCUAUGUAGCCAUCCAAGUGGAAGAGACCGAGCGCCUUCCAUUGAUUAUUUAAAUGAAUGGUUACAAGAAUUAGAUUGCACAUUUCAUAUGACAUCCAGAAAGGACAUUUAUUGUACCUAUAAAGAAAUAAACAGAAUGGUAGUAGUUAUAGGAAAUAAUAUAUCGUGCAGAGUUAUAGGAUUGGAAAUAUAAGGGUAAGAUUUGAAACUAGAGAUGUCUGUGCUAGAAAUUGUAAGGAGCACUCCUUUCCAUCAAAAGAGUUUGGAAUAGUCUUCUCGAAAAUAGAGAGCGUUUCUGCAGAUUCUGCAAUGGCUAACUCUGUUAAGGGUAAUUGUAAUAAUCUGUUGCACCAAAAAUUAGCUGACUUGGGUAAUAAAGGGUUGCAAAUGCUGCAAAACAAGGAGCUUUUGGGAAAAAUCACAUAACACAUCUACCCUUUUGUAAAAAUAAUGUCCUAGGAGAAUAGCAUAGAGUCCAGUUUUCAUAUGGCUUGCAUAGAACUUCCUCAAUAUUAGAAUACUUGAGCUUUGUUUUUUAGGGUCCUUCUAGAACAUCCACACAUUGAAGAAACAUAUGUUUCUUAUCAAUAAUAGAUGAUUCUUUAAGAAAAGUACGGUUUUAUUUGUUAAAACUUUAUCUAUACAUUAGUCCAAUUUUAAACCAUUUUACUUCUUUUUCUUCACUUUUAAAGAAAAGUCUGCUCUUCAAAAAUUGACUUUGUUUGAGGUAUAACCCAUGAUUUAUUUCUAAACUUGCAACAAUAUUGAAAAGGCUUAUGCAUCAUAAACAGAAUUGAUGUGAAUACCCAAUGCAAAUUAGGUACAAAUGCAUAAAAUAAAAUCCCAUGGACAAGGCACAAUGCAUUGCUUUUAUUAAAGUAUAAAAUAGGACGAGCUCGUGGGCAAGGCAUCUUUACAAUUUACCUUCAGUCAUCACAACGCAUCUUUUCUCAAAAUUACAACUAUGAAGGAGUUUUGAAUAUGAUAAUAAAUUAUUUGUUGAGAUAUAGUGGAACUGUUAGAAUCUCAAGAUACGGAAACAACUAGCGUGCAAAAUGUUAUAGAGAAAUGUUUACUACUCAAAUAGAUUAAAAUCAUUCAAAGAUGAAUUCAUAAAUCAUUUUUAAUCUUAAUUUUACAGAAUAAAGUAGAACACAAAUUGAAUUCAACACAGUUCGAAUUCUGCCAGGCACUAAUAGUUUAAACAUGCCAUUUACAAAAUUCACAUACUUUAAAAACUCAUUUUUGCUCAAUGAAUGAUCAACAUGCAACUUAAUCAACUUGCUAAGCUCUCAAAUCUCUUUCAAGGUGAUCUGUAUUAGUCCUACGUGUUUUAAAUUAGUCAAGUAUUGUUAAACUCAAUACCUCAAACAGCAGCUUAUGAAAUACAGUAAUUCCUAGAAGGCAAAAAUAGAGCUCAUCUUAGUUUCGAAACAAGGCAAACAUAAGAUAGAAGUUAUUUGAUGUUUUAUUUAAUAGUACACGCAAUACCUAGGAACGAGAUGAGAACUCUUAUUACACUCAAAAAUGUCUCAGAGGGCUGGCAAAGGUAUCUCCUGCAAGAAAAAAAAAUGUUUACAAUCCAAUUGAAUAAGUGAAAGGCGAAUUUUUAGAGAAUCGUGGUAUACCAACAAAAAAUAUUCUUUGUUUACUAGUUUCUUUCUUCUUCACGUUCACUUACUGCUUUACUUUCCUUUUCAGGUUCACUUUCUGCUUCAUUUUUACUCUCCUGAUCAAAUAUUAUGACUUUAAGUUCUUCAUUUCCCAUUUCUUCUUGUUCUUCUUGAAUUCUCUUAGCAGAUUCUUUGAUAGCUUCCACGCAGUCAUAUACCUCAAUCAUUAGUAAUGUUGGAAUAUCACCUAAACUGGGAGGGAUCAUCUUCAAAUGUUUGCAAUAUCUCAAUCCUAGUCGUUGAAGUCUUGGGAAAUGAUCUCUUGAGGUAUUCCACUCUGCAAGUCUCACAUUAGAGAGUUUCAAGAAUUUAAGUUGUGGAAAUUCACCUUCACUAGUGUCCCAUCGUCGUCCAUCAAAGGAAACAUAACGUAAUUUGAGAACCACAAGGUACUUCAAUUUCCCAAUUAACUCCAUUUGUUCCUGUGCCAUGCGUACACGUAUUAAAGUCAAUUGUUUGAGAUUUAAGGGCAGACUGAUCAAAUUGAACGAUGAAUAUCCCACGAUACUACGUGAUCUGAGCUUCAAUGAUUCGAGCUGAUUCAGGAAGUCGAAAGAAUAACUGUGUGAAGAUUUAACCCUGCCCUUAAGUCUGCGAAGAUUGGAUAAACAUCUCAAAAUUUUCUCAUCCACUUCAUCGAAAAUUUGAAGGAAAGAAAUACUUUGUAGGUUACUUUUUAUUUGGAAGCUCUUAUCCUUAAUUGCUCGAUGACGGAUAGACUCACUGAAGUAUGCACCACCCUCGAAAUGCACUUGUCUCAAACUCAUCAUAUUAAGGAGGACAUCCGGUAUUUCAAUAUUAUGACUUCUCAUGACAAGAAAUUCUAGUUUGUGGAAGCUAUCCAUUGGUGGAAGUGUAGAUGAAAGUGCCAAGUACCUCACGUGAACGAGCUGGUUAAUUCCGACUACAACAAGAUUUAUCCAGGGCCUGCAAAAAUCCAAGACCCUAAGAACUUUGAAGCCGCAUGCAACUAAUGUGGGCAACGUUACAUUACCACAUAAAAGAGAGCGCGUAUGUGGGCCGAAAGGUAGUGAGGCAGUAGGAUCCUCCCCAUAGACGAUACUCAGACAAUGGCGUUUCCGAAACAUCGCCAUUUCACUGUAGUACGGUAGUGAGUUAGCGUGAUCCUCCCCAUAGACGAUACUCAGACAAUGGUGUUUCUGAUACAUC